GCCGUGACUUUGGAUGCUUCACUCUUGUC
This 29-nucleotide non-coding RNA is filed under the name Homo sapiens (human). The record is from RNAcentral. Lineage: Eukaryota; Metazoa; Chordata; Mammalia; Primates; Hominidae.